RNAcentral lists this ribosomal RNA (497 nucleotides) under uncultured bacterium. RNAcentral describes it as "partial 16S ribosomal RNA". It matches the Rfam family "Bacterial small subunit ribosomal RNA", at positions 28 to 507 of the family's 1533-position model. The record is from RNAcentral.
GACGAACGCUGGCGGCGUGCCUAAUACAUGCAAGUUGAGCGCUGAAGGUUGGUACUUGUACCCACUGGAUGAGCAGCGAACGGGUGAGUAACGCGUGGGGAAUCUGCCUUUGAGCGGGGGACAACAUUUGGAAACGAAUGCUAAUACCGCAUAAAAACUUUAAACACAAGUUUUAAGUUUGAAAGAUGCAAUUGCAUCACUCAAAGAUGAUCCCGCGUUGUAUUAGCUAGUUGGUGAGGUAAAGGCUCACCAAGGCGAUGAUACAUAGCCGACCUGAGAGGGUGAUCGGCCACAUUGGGACUGAGACACGGCCCAAACUCCUACGGGAGGCAGCAGUAGGGAAUCUUCGGCAAUGGACGAAAGUCUGACCGAGCAACGCCGCGUGAGUGAAGAGGGUUUUCGGAUCGUAAAACUCUGUUGGUAGAGAAGAACGUUGGUGAGAGUGGAAAGCUCAUCAAGUGACGGUAACUAACCAGAAAGGGACGGCUAACUACGUG